AGUGAACGCUGGCGGUAGGCCUAACACAUGCAAGUCGAACGGCAGCACAGUAAGAGCUUGCUCUUACGGGUGGCGAGUGGCGGACGGGUGAGGAAUACAUCAGAAUCUACUUUUUCGUGGGGGAUAACGUAGGGAAACUUACGCUAAUACCGCAUACGACCUACGGGUGAAAGCAGGGGAUCUUCGGACCUUGCGCGAUUGAAUGAGCCGAUGUCGGAUUAGCUAGUUGGCGGGGUAAAGGCCCACCAAGGCGACGAUCCGUAGCUGGUCUGAGAGGAUGAUCAGCCACACUGGAACUGAGACACGGUCCAGACUCCUACGGGAGGCAGCAGUGGGGAAUAUUGGACAAUGGGCGCAAGCCUGAUCCAGCCAUACCGCGUGGGUGAAGAAGGCCUUCGGGUUGUAAAGCCCUUUUGUUGGGAAAGAAAAGCAGCAGGUUAAUACCCCGCUGUUCUGACGGUACCCAAAGAAUAAGCACCGGCUAACUUCGUGC
This 493-nucleotide ribosomal RNA is filed under the name uncultured bacterium. RNAcentral describes it as "partial 16S ribosomal RNA". It matches the Rfam family "Bacterial small subunit ribosomal RNA", at positions 29 to 508 of the family's 1533-position model. The record is from RNAcentral.